Molecule: ribosomal RNA, 366 nt
Filed under: Triticum aestivum (bread wheat)
Lineage: Eukaryota; Viridiplantae; Streptophyta; Magnoliopsida; Poales; Poaceae
Description: partial small subunit ribosomal RNA
Source: RNAcentral
AUGCCGCUGCAGCCGAGGCACUGCCUUUGCCAGGCGCUGGUCGACCGCACCGCAGCCCGACGCUGGCCCGACCCCACCGCUGCCCCGCCGUCGUCAUCGGUCAACGCUGGAUCCAUAGCCGCGCCAAGGCCUGAGCCGUCCGCAGUCGCGCCUUGCCCGUCGUCCGCGGCGCCAUCUCCCUCCGCACUCCGCAGCACCGCCGCCGCCAGGCCUGGGAGGUUUGCUGCCGCCGCCGCCUCCUCUAGGGUUGGGGAGAAAGGGGAAGAGAAGAGCUCUGUUUUUCUAUUUUCUCAUUCUUAUGGACAAGGGCAAUUUCGUCCAACUAUAAAAAACUGGCAUCAGUUAAAAUCGAUUUUAACAGUGUAG